RNAcentral lists this long non-coding RNA (1408 nucleotides) under Mytilus galloprovincialis (Mediterranean mussel). Lineage: Eukaryota; Metazoa; Mollusca; Bivalvia; Mytilida; Mytilidae. The record is from RNAcentral.
CUCCUCAAAACACAUGCAAGACCAGGAUCCAAUUUAUAUGUACAUCCUGUGUAAGGUUUCAUCAAUAUCUGUCAAGCCAUUAAGGUGGAGUUUUCCUUACAAGGCACAUGAACAGAUAGACAGACAGAUUAACAUAAUUAAAUUUACUUUAUCCUUUUAAUAUUGCACAUACCACUGUAAUUUCUCAAACUUUGAGUUUUUUAUUACAAAAUUAAUAUAUUCAUGAAAGGCACAGAAAAUUUUUGUUCUAUACAUGUAAUAAUUGUACUCUAAGAAAAAUUCUAAACUUUCGUAGGGUGCCAGUAGAGUACUCCUAUUUUUUUACAUUUUGAAGGCUUCUUUCUAGAAAAACCAACAGUAAAAUAUUAACAUUAUCUGACUGUAAGUGAAUACAAAAUAUUCAACCUUUCAAAUUACAAGACAAUAAAAACUUAUAAACAGCUUAUAAUUGAUAAUCAAUGUGUUUAACUAUUAUUAAAAAUGCUUUAACCCUUUGUCUUAGAAGGAUGGUGUUACACAUUUACUUAUUAAUUUCUUUGAACCUGUGGUUUGUUUUACUGUGAUCCUUAUGGUUAAAAAGUCAACGAGGACAUACAAUUUCUUUGCUUUUCUCUAGUUUUGACAUAGUGAUAGUAAUGGUGACCAUUUUUUGGCUGGUAUUACAAACUAAAAAAAAAAACAUUUUUGUAUCCUGAAAAAUCACCACAAUGUUUGACUGUACAUGUACAACAACUAAAAGUUAAAAGAGAACAGAUCACUAGUCUCAACUAUAGACAGAAUAUUUUUCAUAUUUUAAAACGCUAUAACUCAAAGAAUCAUUUUCAGUGGAGAAGUAGCAUAUUCCACAGUACAGUGAAGUACUGACAAUUUAAUCAAAAUCAAUCUUUUCAAUUUGCUCUGUUAUAUUUGUUUGUUGCUACAUGUAAGAUCUGAUAACAUCCCACAAGGGGUCAUGCUCAAUGAUCUUGUAGAAUCCAAUAAAAACAUUCCCUGCAUAAUUUGCAAUAUUUCUUAACUGUCAAAAAUAUUGAUGGAUGAACUGAAAUAUUUGAGAAUAUAGUCAGGGAAUUCUGUUUCCAUACCAUUUAAUAAUGAAUCCACAGUAAUCAAUAUAAAAGUUAAAUUUUGAUUUAGUAUAUUUGCAGGUAAAACAAGAAUGUGUCCAUGGUACACGGAUGCCCCACUCGCACUAUCAUUUUCCAUGUUCAGUGGACCGUAAAAUUGGGGUCACACUUUAAUUUGGCAUUUAAAUUAGAAAGAUCAUAUCAUAAGGAACAUGAGAACUAAGUUUCAAGUUGAUUAGACUACAACUUCAUCAAAAACUACCUUGACCAAAAACUUUAACCAAAAACUUUAAUCUGAACUAUGCACUAUCAUUUUCUAUGUUCAGUGGACCAUGACAUUGGGG